This 460-nucleotide ribosomal RNA is filed under the name uncultured bacterium. Its description in RNAcentral is "partial 16S ribosomal RNA". It matches the Rfam family "Bacterial small subunit ribosomal RNA", at positions 338 to 795 of the family's 1533-position model. The record is from RNAcentral.
CCUACGGGAGGCAGCAGUGAGGAAUAUUGGACAAUGGGCGGAAGCCUGAACCAGCCAAGUCGCGUGCAGGAUGACGGCCCUACGGGUUGUAAACUGCUUUUAUACGGGAAUAACGCGCCUUACGUGUAGGGCUUUGCAUGUACCGUAUGAAUACAGACGGGCUAAUUCCGUGCAAGCGGCCGCGGUAAUACGGAAGGUCCGGGCGUUAUCCGGAUUUAUUGGGUUUAAAGGGAGCGUAGGCCGUAUGGCAAGCGUGCUGUGAAAUGUCCGGGCGCAACCCGGGCCUUGCAGCGCGAACUGGCGUGCUGGAGUCCGCGGAAGGCAGGUGGAAUUCGUCGUGUAGCGGUGAAAUGCUUAGAUAUGACGAAGAACCCCGAUUGCGAAGGCAGCUUGCUGCAGCGGAACUGACGCUGAUGCUCGAAAGCGCGGGUAUCGAACAGGAUUAGAUACCCGUGUAGUC